This 1338-nucleotide long non-coding RNA is filed under the name Oryctolagus cuniculus (rabbit). RNAcentral describes it as "lncRNA (ENSOCUG00000033939.1)". The record is from RNAcentral. Lineage: Eukaryota; Metazoa; Chordata; Mammalia; Lagomorpha; Leporidae.
AUGCCCCGUCUCCCCUUCACCUGUCUUCCCUCUGCAGGGGCGGGGCUGGGGGGCCACAGCGCCCCGCCCCCGCCUUCCUCCUGCCAGAUCUAUUUCUGGGCUCUCGCCUGCAUUUCCUCGCGUUCAGUGAGCGCAGCUGUCCCGGAUCCACGUCCGCUGCUGGGAGCCGGGAGCUCUGAUCCCGCUCCUGCUCCUCGCCUGGGUGUGGGGGUGUGGCCAGCUGUCACUCACCAGAGUGCAAAGCCUGCUCCUCUGGGCCUGGAAGCCUGCGGCCCUGGGGGAGUCACCACGGGGCCCUUGCCUGUCCCUUGUGCUCUGUAUCCAGCGCAGGUGCGACCCCUGCCGAUGGGCUCAGAGCUGGGCUCAGCUGGGCAGAGGCAUGGGCUUGGGCGCAGGGUCUCUAGAUGCACGUGGCCCCUGAGGCCCCCUUGGAGCAGCCCCGGCGGCUCUGACCACGCCCUCCCGGGGCUGGGGCACCGGCGGAGUGGGUGCUCACGGUGGCCCAAGGGGAGCCGAGCCCCCGUCCUGGAAGAGACAGAGGCUCUUGGUGCUGGUGGGGGUGGGGGUGGGGAAGUCCUCCCUGCGGAUGGCCCCAUGGCCGCAGUGGGAGCUCGGGCUGCAGCAGCUGCAAGCCUGACUCACCUUCGGCCUGGGAGAAGGGGCCUUGGAAAGAGCAUUUUGCCUGCGUGUCCCAGGGACUGGAGAUCGGAGAAGCUGGCCCGGCGUUGUCCACUGGGAGAUGAACAGGAGGCUGGCCCUCCCUGUGGGGGACUGUGGCACCCUGCAACUCAGGGCAGGGCCCCCCGGGAAGACCACCUGACUCCCGCGGGCCGGGCAGACCUGAGGGCCCCUGCUGGGCUCUGCUUGUCCCCUCCGGUGAGUGUGGUGUUGACACGGCGCAGAGCACAGGCGGGGGCCCAGACCAAACGCGGGAGGAGCCGGGGUGUGGCCCGCCUGCAGCCCGGUGUCCAGGACCCGGGCCGCUCCUCUGCUUUCCCCUGGGUGUGGCGCCUCAGGCUUCAGUUGACGGGGCCGGUGGGAGACGCAGCCCCAGUCCUGCAGUUUGCCUUCAUUCUCCACCCUUUGAGGCAAAAGCAAAGCAGCACACCCGGGUUUGGGAGACCCGGCAUCCCCGCGGGCCUCGGGCCAGGUGCUGUGCCUCCUACGUCUGCUCAGGACUUCCCAGCACCCGUCCCCGUGUGCGCAUCCCCCGGGAGGCGGUGUCUGCCUGUCCCGGAGCCCUGCCUGGCCAGGAGUACCUGCCGCUCAGUGUCGCCUUGGAUCCACAGUGCGGGUGAGGAGGUGGCUUUCCUGCCAGGGCUGGAAGCCAUGACUUAA